UGAAUUGACGGGGCCCGCACAAGCGUGGAGCAUGUGGUUUAAUUCGAAGCAACGCGAAGAACCUUACCAGGUCUUGACAUCCCUGACAACCGAGAGAUCGGGCGUUCCCCUUCGGGGGGACAGGGUGACAGGUGGUGCAUGGUUGUCGUCAGCUCGUGUCGUGAGAUGUUGGGUUAAGUCCCGCAACGAGCGCAACCCUCGACCUUAGUUGCCAGCAUUCAGUUGGGCACUCUAAGGUGACUGCCGGCUAAAAGUCGGAGGAAGGUGGGGAUGACGUCAAAUCAUCAUGCCCCUUAUGACCUGGGCUACACACGUGCUACAAUGGGCGGUACAAAGGGUCGCGAACCCGCGAGGGGGAGCCAAUCCCAAAAAGCCGCUCUCAGUUCGGAUUGCAGGCUGCAACUCGCCUGCAUGAAGCCGGAAUCGCUAGUAAUCGCGGAUCAGCACGCCGCGGUCGAAUACGUUCCCGGGCCUU
RNAcentral lists this ribosomal RNA (475 nucleotides) under uncultured Anoxybacillus sp. Its description in RNAcentral is "bacterial SSU rRNA". It matches the Rfam family "Bacterial small subunit ribosomal RNA", at positions 907 to 1382 of the family's 1533-position model. The record is from RNAcentral. Lineage: Bacteria; Bacillati; Bacillota; Bacilli; Caryophanales; Anoxybacillaceae.